GGCACUGCACAGGCAGAAAGUGAAUCUCAGAGUCGAUACAUUGAAAGUCUCCUGCAGAAUUUUCUGAACUCAAACGUCAGUUCACCUCUUCAAAGGAAUAUUCGGGAUGAUUUGUCUCAACACUCAAAAAUCUUAUUUUGCUGCUUCUGUUGCUAUCAUCAUCAUCAUUAUCACUAUUUAAUGAGAAUAAUAAUAAUAAUAAUAAUAAUUUGACAUUACUGGAAUUGAACACAGGACCUUGUAUGUGCUAGAUUCCUUGUCAGUGAGAUGGAGAACCUGCACAGCGAUUGUAUCCCAGAUUUAUGACCUUUUGAUGAUCCCUGUGGUUGAAUUAGGGAAAAGCUGGAAGAAGCUGAGGAGGAGGACAACCCUACAGGAAGACCAGCAGUCUCAACUAACUCGGACCCCCGAGAUUGCUCAGACACCGAGCCCCCCACCAGGCAGCAUACAUCAACUGACAUGAGGCCCUUAAUACACAUACAGCAGAGGACUGCCAGGUCUUGACUCAGCGAGAGAAGAUGCACCUAACACUCAAGAGACUUGAGGCCCAGGGAAUAGGAAGGGAGUGGGGAUUUCUAGUGGGCUAGGGAGUGGAGACAUCCUCUUGGAGAUGGAGGUUGGCAGUUGGACAUAUGAGAUAUAGAACAGAGGACAGAUCAGGAGUGGGAUAAAUAUUGGACUAUAUAAAAAAAGAUUAAAGAAUAAAAACUAUUAUUACAUGCAUAUUAUAUAUAUAUAUAUACACAUAUAUAUACACAUAUAUAAUAUAUAUUAUAUAUAUAUUGGGCUUAGAUUUCUUUUUAAAACCUACUUUUGAUAAGGGUCCUCAAACACUUGGUAGGGGAGAAAAGAUAUUAAAUAAGGGGAUGUGGACCUGUUUAAAUGUAGUUUUUAGGGUUCAUUUCAAUUUCCUUUUGUCAGGAUACCAGCAGUCCAGUUCAGUAGUGUCAGGAUACCAAACAGGAAUCAGCAGUGGUGCCGUGAUCCAGCAGAAACAGCCAGGCCUCUGCUAAAUUAGUAAGAGUCAGCUGGAGUGACUACUGUGCCUUUCUCAAUGGAGAGAAGAUGAGUGAGGACUCAAGACCAAUCUAUAGUGUUGCCAGCCUCGCUAUGCAAGCACCCUGUCACUGUCGAUUGAGUCCUAUUUAAACUCUCUCCAAACAUCAUGGGUCCUCCCUUGCCUCAGGAGACUACCAUGUAAAUCUACUUUAAGAAAAUGUCAGGUGAAUCUGCAUCACAUGACAUAACCAGAAACUUCCACUUCAAUAUAUGCAUAUGUUCUAAUUACAACCUGCUCAGUCUCUAUAAUACAUAUAUGAAUGUUUUCACGGCUGACCAUUUGGUGUUGGGUAACUAAUUGUUGUGUCCUUUCUUCUCUUUCAAAAGUCUUAAUGUAAGAGUAGAACUAAGUUUUCUUUGUAUACGUAAAAACUGUAUUUUUUCAUUUUACUCUCAGAUCUCUAGGGUAAAUACAGUUCUUUACUAUUUGCCUUAUCUAGUCAAAUUAAAAAUUGAUAGUUACUGUAGAUGUUAUUAGCUCUAUUAAAAGUGUUGAUUUAAGGAAUCAAU
Long non-coding RNA from Apodemus sylvaticus (European woodmouse), 1569 nucleotides. RefSeq lists it as uncharacterized. Lineage: Eukaryota; Metazoa; Chordata; Mammalia; Rodentia; Muridae. The transcript is spliced from 3 exons. The record is from RefSeq and is a predicted model, not a curated record.